UACGUAGGGGGCAAGCGUUGUUCGGAAUUACUGGGCGUAAAGCGCACGUAGGCGGCUUUGUAAGUUAGAGGUGAAAGCCCGGAGCUCAACUCCGGAACUGCCUUUAAGACUGCAUCGCUUGAACGUCGGAGAGGUAAGUGGAAUUCCGAGUGUAGAGGUGAAAUUCGUAGAUAUUCGGAAGAACACCAGUGGCGAAGGCGACUUGCUGGACGACUGUUGACGCUGAGGUGCGAAAGCGUGGGGAGCAAACAGG
Molecule: ribosomal RNA, 253 nt
Filed under: uncultured bacterium
Lineage: Bacteria
Description: partial 16S ribosomal RNA
Rfam family: Bacterial small subunit ribosomal RNA
Source: RNAcentral